GAUCCUGGCUCAGGAUGAACGCUGGCGGCGUGCUUAACACAUGCAAGUCGAACGAAGCAUUUAGAACGGAUUACUUCGGUUUGAAGUUCUUUAUGACUGAGUGGCGGACGGGUGAGUAACGCGUGGGUAACCUGCCUUGUACUGGGGGGAUAGCAGCUGGAAACGGCUGGUAAUACCGCAUAAGCGCACAAUGUUGCAUGACAUAGUGUGAAAAACUCCGGUGGUAUAAGAUGGACCCGCGU
Molecule: ribosomal RNA, 242 nt
Filed under: uncultured bacterium
Lineage: Bacteria
Description: partial 16S ribosomal RNA
Rfam family: Bacterial small subunit ribosomal RNA
Source: RNAcentral